This 253-nucleotide ribosomal RNA is filed under the name uncultured bacterium. RNAcentral's name for it is "partial 16S ribosomal RNA". It matches the Rfam family "Bacterial small subunit ribosomal RNA", at positions 524 to 776 of the family's 1533-position model. The record is from RNAcentral.
UACGUAGGGCGCAAGCGUUGUCCGGAAUUAUUGGGCGUAAAGAGCGUGUAGGCGGCCAGGUAGGUCUGCUGUGAAAACUCGAGGCUCAACCUCGAGACGUCGGCGGAAACCAUCUGGCUAGAGUCCGGAAGAGGAGAGUGGAAUUCCUGGUGUAGCGGUGAAAUGCGCAGAUAUCAGGAAGAACACCCGCGGCGAAGGCGGCUCUCUGGGACGGUACUGACGCUGAGACGCGAAAGCGUGGGGAGCGAACAGG